RNAcentral lists this ribosomal RNA (468 nucleotides) under uncultured bacterium. RNAcentral's name for it is "partial 16S ribosomal RNA". It matches the Rfam family "Bacterial small subunit ribosomal RNA", at positions 28 to 507 of the family's 1533-position model. The record is from RNAcentral.
GACGAACGCUGGCGGCGUGCUUAACACAUGCAAGUCGAACGGAAAGGCCCUGCUUUUGUGGGGUGCUCGAGUGGCGAACGGGUGAGUAACACGUGAGUAACCUGCCCUUGACUUUGGGAUAACUUCAGGAAACUGGGGCUAAUACCGGAUAGGAGCUCCUGCUGCAUGGUGGGGGUUGGAAAGUUUCGGCGGUUGGGGAUGGACUCGCGGCUUAUCAGCUUGUUGGGGGGGUAGUGGCUUACCAAGGCUUUGACGGGUAGCCGGCCUGAGAGGGUGACCGGCCACAUUGGGACUGAGAUACGGCCCAGACUCCUACGGGAGGCAGCAGUGGGGAAUAUUGCACAAUGGGCAGAAGCCUGAUGCAGCAACGCCGCGUGCGGGAUGACGGCCUUCGGGUUGUAAACCGCUUUCGCCUGUGACGAAGCGUGAGUGACGGUAAUGGGUAAAGAAGCACCGGCUAACUACGUG